Gasterosteus aculeatus aculeatus (three-spined stickleback) is the source of this 3230-nucleotide long non-coding RNA. The record is from Ensembl. NCBI's taxonomy places the organism in Eukaryota, Metazoa, Chordata, Actinopteri, Perciformes, Gasterosteidae.
CGCCGUGUCAGCAGGAAUGAAAUAUGGCUUUUAAAGAAUAACAGGUCUAGUUUUGUAGCUUCUCUUCGGCAGGUACGGGAUCAGAGCGGUGUCCAUGACGACGGAGACAACAGAGCGUAGAAUGCCGUCAUUGACGAAUCGCGAUCGAGUAUUCAGCGAUGACGUUCCUUUCCGAAAGCUGCGUUAGUCGCGCUCCUUCUUCGCAAAGUUGACACUAAAUCCUCUGAAGGCAGAAAGACGCUCGGCCACCGGCGCCUUUUCAGGCUGUCGCUGAUUUUUGUCUGGAAACUUGAGAUCUUGAGUGGUGGUUCAAGUCUCAAGGACGUCAAGUGUAACAGCAUUAAAGUCCAAAGUGUGCGAGUGUGACGUCCAUCUGGUCCGGUUGUCUGGAAGGUGCACACUGAAAGACACACACUGCAGGUCUGCACACACACACACACACACACACUGCAGGUCUCUGCACACACACACACACACACACACACACACACACACACACACACACACACACACUGCAGGUCUCUGCACACACACACACACACACACACACACACACACACACACACACACACACACACACACACACACACACACACUGUAUGUCUCUGCACACACACACUGCAGGUCUCUGUACACACACACACACACACACGCACACUGCAGGUCUCUGUACACACACACACACACACACACGCACACACACACGCACACUGCAGGUCUCUGUACACACACACACACACAUGUCAAAGACAAAAUAACUUGCACAUAAAAUGAAAAUGGGGGGGGGGCAACACAUGGACGCCUCAGAAAAGAAUUACUCUGCUUUGAUUUUUUGGGGGAGGCUUUAUUGCGCAAUACGGAGAGAUUAAAGCAAACACGGCUCCGCGUUCACUUUGGGCCGAUCUUGGGGGGUUUCGCCGCCUCGAGAACAAACAGCGAGAAUCUCAGCGAAGCAAGAAGACGCCAAUUAAAUACUGCUAGUGAGAUAAAGACAGACGGAGAGACGGAGAGAGAGACAGACAGAGAGACGGAGAGAGAGACAGACAGAGAGACAGACAGACAGAGAGAGAGACGGAGAGAGAGACAGAGAGACAGACAGAGAGAGAGACAGAGAGAGAGACAGACAGAGAGACGGAGAGAGAGACAGACAGAGAGACAGACAGACAGAGAGAGAGACAGACAGAGAGACGGAGAGAGAGACAGACAGAGAGACAGACAGACAGAGAGAGAGACAGAGAGCCACAUACACAAUAAAUGUUCCUUUUGAAGUGAUGAACGCACAGAAAAGCAAGCGGCUCUAAUUCAGUCGUAUCAGCAUGGAAAAUGAAGCAGGGAACUAUUGAGGAGCCGGUGAGCAGCUGAACGUUGUCUUUCCUGUUUUGUUUUAUUUGGGGGGGGGGGGGUUGGUCCUUCCACGCCGCUCUGGCAUGACGCCCAAAACCAGAAACACAGCAGGGCGGCGCGUCCUACCUGUGGGCGGAGCGGUGGGCAGCCUGGCGGGGGCCACGCAGAGAGGAAGCAGGAAGCAGAGCCACAGCGAGCGCCACGGCGCCGUCAUCCCUCUGGGCGGGCGGGGGCGGAUGAUGCAGAGCAGCGAGGCCCGAGCCGGACUCAGACCGCCUCCUCCGCCGGCAUGCUGGGGGCCUCCGACGCCUCGCCGUCACCCACCUGGCCCCCGGAAAACAAACCACACACACACGUGAGCAGGACACUGAGCGGGCGGGAGGAACGCGCCAUCACCUCGGGAACUGAAUAUGAACCAGUGGACCAGUGGACCAGUGGACUGGUGGCCUGGUGGACCAGUGGACUGGUGGCCUGGUGGACCAGUGGACUGGUGGACUAGUGGACUAGUGGACUGCCAGCUGGACGCCGCGGGGGGAAACGUCGCAAAUUCCACACAGAUUUCAAAGAUUGCUGAUGGAGGAACGGCUCAGAGAAACCUCAGCCUGACGAGGACCAACACAAAUCACCAGUGGCCCAACGGGCCCGGCGGCCCGCAGGAGGAAGAGGAGGAGGAGGAGGAAGAGGAGGGAGGUGACGGCUGCACGGCGAGUGGCGGCGGAGUGCUCCGCUCUCUGUUUGCUUAGGGAGGGAGAAGCUGGAAUGCACUGAGGUUUGAGGAGAAAGCUGUGAGCGACGUGCCCAGAAAAGCACCCCCCCCCCCUCUACACACACCCCCUUCACACACACACACACACACACACACACACACACACACACACACACACACACGCACAACACCAACUGUUAGCUUAAACUUUAGGGGCUCUGUCCAGCUUUGGAAUAGCCUUGGCUGUGAGACCCCGACAAAAACACGCGCAGGCGAGUGGGCUUCUGCACACAGAGGUGUAUUGUGCGCACUCACACACACACACACACACACACACAGUCCAGAGAGCGUGUGUGUGUCUUUUCUUGUGACCCACUCAUUGCUCAGCACUAACUGAAGCCGACUCGGCGAGACUGUGUUUGCACAUUAUCGCUCUCCAACACGUAUCUCAGGUGUGUGUGACACACACACACACACACACACACACACACACACACACACACAGACACGCGUGACUUGAUAAAGCGGGGGGAGUGUAAUCUAAGCACUUCCCUGUGGGUCUCUCUGACUCUGUGUUUUCUGGCAGCUUUCUGCAGCCACUUCACUUGGAGAGCCGACUCUUGGGUUCGUGUCAGCGUGCAGAUCUGUUUAGACAAGACGACUGGAAAAACCACGCCGGCUUUUGGAUGGACGUCUGGUGACAGGUAGCAGUCGGGACUACUUUGGGUACAAAGUGAACCCUCGGAUUGGAGGAGCAGCGCGGAGGUGGAACCAGUUUAAAACCCCUGCGAUUAAUAGAUGAGGAAGGGACCUUAUAUGCUCGGUGUUGUCGGCAUGUAACGAGCAAUGACACUCGGCUGAGACGGUUUUACACUCUGAUUUCAGGCCCACGCAGCGGAGGAGGGGGGGCGCGGAUCCUAAAAGACACGACCCCGCAGGUCAAAGCCUUACGACUGCUUUUCACGCUGAUAUAUAUAAUAUAUAUAUACUUAAAGCAUGAAAGGGAAACACAGCCAGUAAAUAAAACAUGAACAUAAUCAUGCAGAACUGUCCUCUCGCUGUAAAAACUCGGGGGCGGAAAACAAAGAGAUUAAACCGGGGUUCAUAUCCCUGUCGCCCCCCCCCCCUCAGUGGGCGGCGAGUCACAUGCUGGUCACCCCUCUCCCGCAGUGCUAAUCUU